Molecule: long non-coding RNA, 764 nt
Organism: Corticium candelabrum
Lineage: Eukaryota; Metazoa; Porifera; Homoscleromorpha; Homosclerophorida; Plakinidae
Exons: 4
Source: RefSeq, a predicted model, not a curated record
UGGACAUCUUGCAACCGCGAUUUUGACAUAAACGAACUGCUGUCUUUUUGCGCACCUUUCGAGCAGUAACCUGCACCGUUUAUUGAAAGGGAGCCUCAGUUUUUGUCGUCUGCUGAACGUGGUUUUCUCGGCACAAAUCAACUUCAAUAAAUUAGACGACAGUGUAUAUAUUGAGUAACUGGUAUUUCAUUGGGGUGGACAAGGUCUGUGACUGUUGUUGUCGACAAGAACUGUCUGGCUUGCUGCAUUCUGAGUGUUCUGACCAUUACUAAUGGCCAUGUGAAGUACGGUAUUUGUUAGUCUGCAUGUUAAUGUGGCAGCUAUGGCAGAACCUAACAUCUGUGGUUGUACUUAGAAAUGUGAGAGCGUUACCUGGGCCAUCAAGCUACACCUGGUACUGAAAUAAUCCAGGUAGCCAAGCAUGGUGUUUGUCCUUUUGUUGGCUAUGUCACAUUACUGGUUGAUGACACUUGAAAGACACCAUGUAUUUGAGACAAUAGCAAAAUCAACAUGGUCCUUAAUACUUCUAAAAUGAUCUGUUGCCAGCCAGCUGACAGUUGUUUGGCUGAAAUUCUUUGUCAACAUUAUUAACUUACAAUGAGUUGAUGUCUGCUACUUGUUAUGAGUUCAUUUGAAGCCAUGCUCUAACUAGAAGGAGUCAUGAUCAGUGAAACCUGCACUACUACAGAAAUGGGAGUGAUGAAAGUAGUCUUAGUUGCUAGUUGUACCAAGAGGACAGUUGUGACUUCAGGGUAGCAAUAAAA